CAACAGAUCCACACCAGAAAGACUCUACAAGUGCAGUUACUGUGAGAAGCAGAGCGACACAGAUGGAUCAAGUUCUCAACCCUGUCAUCGCUGUGGGAAAGACUUUUGUUGUGACCUUUGUGGAAAAACUUUAAGUCAUUGAAGGACUCUGAAAAUACAUCAACGUAGACACACUGGAGACAAAAUGAACUACUGUAAAGAAUGCGGGAGAGGCUUCACCACUUCAAAGGACUUCAAACAAUAUGAACUCCUUCACAGUGGCGUUAAAAAGCAUGUCUGCGAUCAGUGUGGGUCAUCCUUCAUCAGUGCACGUCAGCUUGAAAAGCAUAAACGAGUCCACACAUGAGAGAAACCAUACAAGUGCAGACACUGUGACAAAACCUUUUCACAAUCAUGUGAUCAUACUAAGCAUGAACGCAGACACAUGAAAGAGAACUUCAUCUGUGAAAGAGUUUGAGUAAUCUCAGUUCAUACUCCACUCAGAAACGAUUCCAUGUUACAAAUAAACUGUUACAUCUUGAUUCCUGCUUUUACGUUAAUCUUGUAAACAGUACAUUUGCAUAACGACUGAAACCGGCCCAAUGAAUGAACAAUGGGCUGUGAGGUCAAUUUCUUCAUCAUUAAUAUGCAAAUUCUUAUGAGCAUUGAUCAACAACCA
Oreochromis niloticus (Nile tilapia) is the source of this 658-nucleotide long non-coding RNA. RefSeq lists it as uncharacterized. Lineage: Eukaryota; Metazoa; Chordata; Actinopteri; Cichliformes; Cichlidae. The transcript has 2 exons. The record is from RefSeq and is a predicted model, not a curated record.